This 497-nucleotide ribosomal RNA is filed under the name uncultured bacterium. Its description in RNAcentral is "partial 16S ribosomal RNA". It matches the Rfam family "Bacterial small subunit ribosomal RNA", at positions 28 to 507 of the family's 1533-position model. The record is from RNAcentral.
GAUGAACGCUGGCGGCGUGCCUAAUACAUGCCAGUCGAGCGAACGGACGAGAAGCUUGCUUCUCUGAUGUUAGCGGCGGACGGGUGAGUAACACGUGGAUAACCUACCUAUAAGACUGGGAUAACUUCGGGAAACCGGAGCUAAUACCGGAUAAUAUUUUGAACCGCAUGGUUCAAAAGUAAAAGACGGUCUUGCUGUCACUUAUAGAUGUAUCCGCGCUGCAUUAGCUAGUUGGUAAGGUAACGGCUUACCAAGGCAACGAUGCAUAGCCGACCUGAGAGGGUGAUCGGCCACACUGGAACUGAGACACGGUCCAGACUCCUACGGGAGGCAGCAGUAGGGAAUCUUCCGCAAUGGGCGAAAGCCUGACGGAGCAACGCCGCGUGAGUGAUGAAGGUCUUCGGAUCGUAAAACUCUGUUAUUAGGGAAGAACAUAUGUGUAAGUAACUGUGCACAUCUUGACGGUACCUAAUCAGAAAGCCACGGCUAACUACGUG